CUAGGCGUACGUAACGACGUAGAUUGUGUAGUAAAUCGUCAACCCCAUCAUCCACCUGACAAGCCAAACUAGCUUUUCUUGGUAGACUGUUUGUCUUUAUUCAAUUUAUAUAUUGUAAGUAACCAAAUAUGCAAUUGACUGAUUAUGUAGGUAUUUAAUUGCGUAUUCCAGAGCAUUAUAGAUUCAAAAAGUGUACAGUAGUUAGCUCUGCUCAGCUAGCUAGCUAGUUUAGCUACAAUCCUACUCAUGUCAAAAUUCUCCAUCCAUAGUUCUGGAUGAAUCGAAUAAAGAAUGGACAGCCCCAGCCCACCCUCACCGUUGAGCAGGCCAGAUGUAAGAACAGUUGUCACAUACUUUUGUCUUAUUACUAAUGCCCAGUAGUGGAACAGAUCUCUUCAAACUGCUUGUGAUGCAGUGGUGCUGAGUGUGGUCAUCCAAGUCUUCUCUGUGCCAGAGAAUUCAGCGCAGAUGGAGGAGGAGAGAGAGCGCCUACAACAUGGGGACGAUUCGAUAGCUGGUGCUCCCCAUGGGCCACCCAGAUCCAACAGGUCAUCAAGGCUUAUGGCUUCAACAAUGAGGGAGAGGGGGAAGUCACUUUGUGAAACCAGUUCCAUACAGAAUGAAGGGGUAGAGAGAGACAAAUCUAUUGUCACUUGUCAGUGGCAUUGUUUUGUGUGAAGACUGAAUGCUAUCUUUUUGCGUCAUGUUCAGUUUGACCUAUACUGAACAACAAUAUAAAUGCAGCAAUUUCUAAGAUUUUACUUAGUUAAUAUAAGGAAAUCAGUCAAUUAAAAUACAUUCAUAAGGCCCUAAUCUAUGAUUUUCAUAUGUUGGUCAUAGAUAUCUUUAAAAAAAUGGUAGGGGUCAUGGAUCAGAAAACCAGUAAAUAUCUGGUGUGACCACCAUUUGUGUCAUGCAGCUCGACACCUCCUUCUCCUUGAGUUGAUAAGGCUGUUGAUUGUGGCCUGUGAAAUGUUGUCCCACUCCUCUUCAAUGGCUGUGCGAACUUGCUGGGUAUUAGCGGGAACACACUAACACGUCAAUCCAGAGUAUUCAAACCAUGCUCAAUGGGUGACAUGUUUGAGUAUGCGCUGGUGGAAAUUCCUGGAGUCAGCAUGCCAAUUGCCCUCAACUUAUGACAUUGUGUUGUGUGACAACUGCUCAUUUUAGAGUGUGCUUUUGUCCCCAGCACAAGAUGCACCUGGGUAAUGAUGCCAUUUAAUAUGCUUCUUGAUAUGCCACACCUGUCAGGUGGAUGGAUUAUUUUGGCAAAGGAGAAAUGCUCACUAAGAGAGAUGUAAAAUUUGUGCACAUACUGAGAGAAAUAAGCUUUUUGUGCGUAUGGAACAUUUCUGGGAUCUUUUAUUUCAGCUCAUGAAACCAACACUUUCAUGUUGCAUUUAUAUAUUUGUUCAGUGUAUUUGUGAAAUCAUGUUGGUCAAUCAUAGUAGUCAUUGCUUGUAAACUAUUUUUCAGGUGUAUUUGUGAAAUGAUGGUGGUCAAUCAUAGUAGUCAUUGCUUGUAAACUAUUUUUCAGGUGUAUUUGUGAAAUGAUGGUGGUCAAUCAUAGUAGUCAUUGCUUGUUUUAGCAAUUUUUCAGGUGUUCUUAAAUUUGCCCGUCUGGUGAAGAUGUAUGAAACUCAGGAUCCAGAGAUAGCAGCCAUAUCGGUCAAACUGGGGUCUCUUCUCCUGCCUCCCCUGUCCACUCCACCCAUUGGUGGUGCAAUACCAGCAUCCUCGCAAACUAUUUUAUUGUGGACCGCCUUGUUUUUCCAGAAGGGACAUCUACAAAAUGUUACUGUACUUCCAUCAAGUACGUGCAAACCUGGAAUUCAGCUCAUGAUAUUUUCAUUCAGUCUUAGGUGAGAGUGAAUUGGUUACCUUAUUUAUAAUGUCCUGAGAUAAUAUACACAAAGCACAUCUUUAUUGGUUGAAAUGAAAACACAAGCACUGACCAUG
Long non-coding RNA from Oncorhynchus kisutch (coho salmon), 1959 nucleotides. RefSeq lists it as uncharacterized. NCBI's taxonomy places the organism in Eukaryota, Metazoa, Chordata, Actinopteri, Salmoniformes, Salmonidae. The transcript is spliced from 2 exons. The record is from RefSeq and is a predicted model, not a curated record.